This 559-nucleotide ribosomal RNA is filed under the name uncultured bacterium. RNAcentral's name for it is "bacterial SSU rRNA". It matches the Rfam family "Bacterial small subunit ribosomal RNA", at positions 120 to 674 of the family's 1533-position model. The record is from RNAcentral.
GGGGAUCUGCCCGAUAGAGGGGGAUAACCACUGGAAACGGUGGCUAAUACCGCAUAACGUCGCAAGACCAAAGAGGGGGACCUUCGGGCCUCUCACUAUCGGAUGAACCCAGAUGGGAUUAGCUAGUAGGCGGGGUAACGGCCCACCUAGGCGACGAUCCCUAGCUGGUCUGAGAGGAUGACCAGCCACACUGGAACUGAGACACGGUCCAGACUCCUACGGGAGGCAGCAGUGGGGAAUAUUGCACAAUGGGCGCAAGCCUGAUGCAGCCAUGCCGCGUGUAUGAAGAAGGCCUUCGGGUUGUAAAGUACUUUCAGCGGGGAGGAAGGCGAUGUGGUUAAUAACCGCAUUGAUUGACGUUACCCGCAGAAGAAGCACCGGCUAACUCCGUGCCAGCAGCCGCGGUAAUACGGAGGGUGCAAGCGUUAAUCGGAAUUACUGGGCGUAAAGCGCACGCAGGCGGUCUGUUAAGUCAGAUGUGAAAUCCCCGGGCUUAACCUAGGAACUGCAUUUGAAACUGGCAGGCUUGAGUCUCGUAGAGGGGGGUAGAAUUCCAGGU